Molecule: ribosomal RNA, 60 nt
Filed under: Desulfocicer vacuolatum DSM 3385
Lineage: Bacteria; Pseudomonadati; Thermodesulfobacteriota; Desulfobacteria; Desulfobacterales; Desulfobacteraceae
Description: Desulfobacterium vacuolatum DSM 3385 23S rRNA. Bacterial LSU
Source: RNAcentral
UGUGUAAGCACAGUAAUGUGUUCAGCUAACCGAUACUAAUAGGUCGUGAGGCUUAGCCAC